This 371-nucleotide long non-coding RNA is filed under the name Bos taurus (domestic cattle). RNAcentral describes it as "long non-coding RNA NONBTAT009634". Lineage: Eukaryota; Metazoa; Chordata; Mammalia; Artiodactyla; Bovidae. The record is from RNAcentral.
AGGAAACAAUUCAAAUUUUAUUAAACAUUAAGAAUAACAGACAAAGUUUUGGACUUAACAGCAUAAACAGCAACCAAAACCAUGGUGUACAAACACACUGACAUCAAGUGAACUUGUACCUGUUUAACAGAUGCAAUCUUUGUGGUGUUGCCAAAAGGAUAAUGGUGAUUAUUGUUACGUUUGGUAAGGUGCUCCACAUGAAAGAUUUUAUGCCUUAACUACUCUCUCAGUGGGGGCCUAGGAGCCCUUAGAAGGAAGCUGGCAGACUGAGAGCAGGUGUCUAUCACCUUCUGGAACUGCUCUGAUUAACACGAAUUAAGUUUUCCUAAAAGGAACUUUAGGAAUAAGGGAGGCAAACUCCUUUGCAUUUU